GUUGACCUCGGAUCAGGUAGGGAUACCCGCUGAACUUAAGCAUAUCAAUAAGCGGAGGAAAAGAAACCAACAGGGAUUGCUCUAGUAACGGCGAGUGAAGCAGCAAUAGCUCAAAUUUGAAAUCUGGCGUCUUCGACGUCCGAGUUGUAAUUUGUAGAGGAUGCUUCUGAG
RNAcentral lists this ribosomal RNA (171 nucleotides) under Cladosporium delicatulum. Its description in RNAcentral is "partial 28S ribosomal RNA". It matches the Rfam family "Eukaryotic large subunit ribosomal RNA", at positions 1 to 169 of the family's 3401-position model. The record is from RNAcentral. Lineage: Eukaryota; Fungi; Ascomycota; Dothideomycetes; Cladosporiales; Cladosporiaceae.